UUCCAGGGAUGGGAAUCGAAACCACAAUUUUCCGUUUACCAGACAGAUGCCAUGUCCACUAGGCUACACUGAA
This is a non-coding RNA of Cordylochernes scorpioides, 73 nucleotides long. The record is from the annotation of a GenBank genome assembly. Lineage: Eukaryota; Metazoa; Arthropoda; Arachnida; Pseudoscorpiones; Chernetidae.